RNAcentral lists this unclassified non-coding RNA (139 nucleotides) under soil metagenome. RNAcentral describes it as "partial internal transcribed spacer 1". The record is from RNAcentral.
CAGAGUUGCAAAACUCCCAACCCUUUGUGAACGUACUGAACCCGUUGCUUCGGCGGGACGGCUCCUCAGGAGCGGACCGCCGGAGGAAUCCAAACUCUUGUUAUUAUUGGCAUUCUCUGAGUAGCUUAUUCAAUAAGUA